UAUAAAAAUUCUGAAUGCUGGCGCCUGGUCAAGAAGUUCUGAGAAAGUCUUUGUCUCACUUCCUACUGAACUGGAGGACUUGAUACCGGAAGUAGAAGAAUUCUACAAAAAAAAUCAUAGUGGUAGAAAAUUACAUUGGCAUCAUCUCAUGUCAAAUGGAAUUAUAACAUUUAAGAAUGAGGUUGGUCAAUAUGAUUUGGAGGUAACCACGUUUCAGCUCGCUGUAUUGUUUGCAUGGAACCAAAGACCCAGAGAGAAAAUCAGCUUUGAAAAUCUUAAGCUUGCAACUGAACUCCCUGAUGCUGAACUUAGGAGGACUUUAUGGUCUUUAGUAGCUUUCCCAAAACUCAAACGGCAAGUUUUGUUGUAUGAACCUCAAGUCAACUCACCCAAAGACUUUACAGAAGGUACCCUCUUCUCAGUGAACCAGGAGUUCAGUUUAAUAAAAAAUGCAAAGGUUCAGAAAAGGGGUAAAAUCAACUUGAUUGGACGUUUGCAGCUCACUACAGAAAGGAUGAGAGAAGAAGAGAAUGAAGGAAUAGUUCAACUACGAAUACUAAGAACCCAGGAAGCUAUCAUACAAAUAAUGAAAAUGAGAAAGAAAAUUAGUAAUGCUCAGCUGCAGACUGAAUUAGUAGAAAUUUUGAAAAACAUGUUCUUGCCACAAAAGAAAAUGAUAAAAGAGCAAAUAGAGUGGCUAAUAGAGCACAAAUACAUCAGAAGAGAUGAAUCUGAUAUCAACACUUUCAUAUAUAUGGCAUAAUUUUGAAUAUCAUGGACAAUAUUUAGAACCCAAAUUUUGGAGUGCUUGGGCAGAAAGUUGUAAAGUUUGUGCUGGAGAAAGGUUUAUUUGGACUUUGAUUACAUAAAUAUUAAAAUCUCUGCCUUACCUUACAAAAACAACUAUAUUUUGCCAAUCACAUUAGUUAGCAUGAUGGCAUUCCCUUCAUGUUGCACACUCUUUGACAGCAUGCUGUUUUGUGGAGAAACUUGCAUUCAUGAAGAGCCCAUUAUCAACUUUUAAAAGUGAAUUUGAUUUGUACCCACCAGGAGAAAUACAGUUGGGAAGGGUGAGGGUGGGGUUCUUGUUGCUUUUUUCUUUUUUUUCCUCUCUUAAAAAAUGUACUUGCACAAGGAAGGAUCUUCAGAUAUUCAUGCACUGAAAAAUGCUGUUAUCUUUUGUUUUUAAAAAAUGCAAUUAAAACUAGAAAUAGCACUCUUGGUUUCUUUUGAUGAAAAGAGUGAGCUGGUCAAUGCAACAUUGGGAAACGGCAGAUGUAGAUAAUUCAGCAUUGGCGUAUUUGCUUGUCCCAAUACAAGAAUGCCAAAGGAGGAAACAGGAAAAAUUGCCGUCCAUUUAAAAAAUUUAGGUUUGUUGUUUUAAACCAUAAUUGUUCUCAGAACUUUUUUGGAACUUCUAAUUUUGGGUCAUUUAAUUUAAGAAUGAGAGUCAUGAUGUUUUGAUUUAUGAAGGUGAAUUUAAUGCAAAAGUGGGUAACACUACAUUCAUAGCAAAGUUUUUUAUUAAAUUUUAUAAAUUUUUAAUAGCCAAUUAUGUCCUAAUUG
RNAcentral lists this long non-coding RNA (1566 nucleotides) under Pan troglodytes (chimpanzee). RNAcentral's name for it is "long non-coding RNA NONPTRT002834". The record is from RNAcentral. Lineage: Eukaryota; Metazoa; Chordata; Mammalia; Primates; Hominidae.